GCUUGCGGCUCGCGUGCAAUUAGCCGGCGGCGGCUGUCGAUGUGUAUUAACACCGGCGAUGACCGUAGCGGAGCCGAAAUCUUCUUCUGGAACCGCGCGCGGGUUGCCUCCACUCUUUCGACGUCCUGGUCCGUGCGAUUGGUCCGUAUGAUCCCACUUUCAUCCCCACGUAAGACCCCGAACGUGAACCCCGUGGGGGUUGGGCUCGUGAACCGAACGAUAUAUCGGGGGAAAUUUUCCGAAAGCACGUUCCGAGUGCCAAUUGCCGCUGUAGCCGGCAGCGACGGCCAAUCGGCGUCGCCCCCGGUCGGGCAGGUGGGGGACCAGCCGAGACUUAAGCGAGGCCACUCGCCGUGGAGCUGUCAGAGCUCUGUGGGGCACGGUCACGCACACAGCAGCUGUUCCCCAUCGGUUUUUCCGGUAGCGUCCACCUACCUCCUUCGUAGUUUGGUCGUCCGCGCGGCAUUCCACGCGAGAGUCACCUCUGGCUCGGAUCGUCUUGACUCUCCUCAAGACCGUCCUCGAGAUCACACACAAUCGCUCUUGUCCUCGCGCGACUCGACAACUCGCCGAUCCUCUCGCUCUUCCUCUCGCUCGCUCGCUCGCUCGCCGCCGCCGCCGCCGCCGCCGCCGCCGCACUCUCCCUCGACGUGAUUGUCCGUCUGAAGAUAUCCGCUAAUUGGAGAGAGGCCGCUAUUUUGCCGAUACACUCGUGGUGUCGCGCGCGCAACAGACACCCCGGCAGAACUCGCCGCCGACGGAGUGAGAAGAUAUGGCUCGCCAGUUGGACCCCACUGGCCUCUACUGAAGACUACGUUUUUCCCCACGAUCGAGCACAGCGCUUACAUACUUCCGCUUUCGGUGUUGCUGAAGAUCAUUAUCGUCGACAUGGCAGCAGGAGGAUUGGACCCCACCGGUCUCUACUGAAGUGCCGAGAGGAAUAACUGCGUUUCUCGAGACCGCUCGUAUUUCCGUAUAUACCUCCGCCUUCCUUUUCCCCCCAUCUGGAACUGUUCUGCCGACUGACUCGCUGAUUAAACUUGUGCAUCAUGGCUGGACUCGACCCGACUGGCCAGUAUUGACGAAAGAGAGAGAGAGAGAGAGAGAGAGAGAGAGAGAGAGAGAGAGACGGGUGACGCGACUGACGAGAGGAGUAGAGGCGAGCGCGAGAGUACGAGAGACCAGUAACGAAGACUCGACGAAAUAUCUCAAGGUCGCGACAUGGCUACCGCUGCUGUCGGGGGUCUCGAUCCGACCGGACAAUACUGAGAUAUCGAGACUCCCGUGAUACGAAGGUGGACGAGGAGGACGGGGAGUACGAGAUCCUCGUUCCUGCACGAUGACCGCGGUCAUGGGAGUAGUGAGAGGACGGGAGGAGACCUCAUCCUCCAACCUGAGGAGACUUCAGUGGAGCAUCCAUAUUCGCAAAGGACGACAUCGGAUAUCCGUUAUACCGGGACGUCAAUGAAACGGCCGAUUAACUGCCUACUACACAUACAGGGAAAUCACGACCAGCAACGACAUCACUGCCGUCGAGCAGCCUCAUCGUCACUCGCCAUCCCAGCCGAGGAGGAGACGCGACGACGACGGUGCGGCCGCCUCAACAACGUGUGGGCCAGGAGGACACCAUUGGGAACCUUGCACUGCCAUGGAAAUUCGUCACCUAGUCGCUUUUUUUUACUUCUCUCCUUCAACUCGCUCGCAAACGAUCGCGCGAUUCUCGAGCACGGAACGCGGACGCAUCCGGCUGGAGAGGUCGCCGCCGCCGUGCGUCUCGAGCCGCCGACGUAGCGACACGAGAGAAAGAGGGAAGGACAGAGAGAGAGAGAGAGAGAGAGAGAGAGAGAGAGAGAGAGACAGACGCUAUUUUUCUUCCUUUUCUUUUUCCCCUAUCCUUGUAUUCUCUUAUAUCUUCUCGUAUAUCUUUUAUGUUCUCUUUUUGAUUUGUUCACUCGCAGUAAGACAUAUAGCGGCCGUUCUGUUCGUCACCGGACGGGACACAAACCCGUAAUAUUUUACUCUCUCUCUCUCUCUCUCUCUCUCUCUCUCUUUCUUUAUUCGACGCUACUUUAUCGCUAUUAUCACACCGCUUCAGCGCUACCACUAGCAGCCCGCUACUUCCAGCACUGUCCGCCACCGGUCAAGACAUUUGCACGCGCGAACAUCGCGCCAUUACCGUUAUCGCUACACUAUCACCGCCGUCGCGACUAAUACACGACGGCUGCCGUUACCGUAUCGUUUCUCUGUUGUCUCGAGCGAGCACCGACGAUGUUGGUGCUGUCGGUCGCACUGCGUGCUCAGCUCGGGGAAACGGUACGGAUUAACCGAUUGUUCGCGGAUACGCCGUUUCUCUUCGCUCUUUGGUGGCAUUCCUUACGAGAUGUCGCGCCAAUUGGCGAGCAACGCGUUCCAUCCACACCGACGAAUUUUCCGACGAAACAUUUACGUUAAGUUAGUUACGCACGGAACCAUCGACGAAGGCUCUCCGUAGGAAGAGGGACAGUCUCGUUGGUGGUUCCGACGAUUGAAAGGGGAUCCAAAGGGUGAUGGGAGAAAAAUCUGGCGACGAGAAUCGGACGUUCCGUUAAAAAGCGAAACCUCGGCGAAA
Molecule: long non-coding RNA, 2608 nt
Organism: Harpegnathos saltator (Jerdon's jumping ant)
Lineage: Eukaryota; Metazoa; Arthropoda; Insecta; Hymenoptera; Formicidae
Exons: 2
Source: RefSeq, a predicted model, not a curated record